GAUGAACGCUGGCGGCGUGCCUAAUACAUGCAAGUCGAGCGAACAGACGAGGAGCUUGCUCCUCUGACGUUAGCGGCGGACGGGUGAGUAACACGUGGAUAACCUACCUAUAAGACUGGGAUAACUUCGGGAAACCGGAGCUAAUACCGGAUAAUAUAUUGAACCGCAUGGUUCAAUAGUGAAAGACGGUUUUGCUGUCACUUAUAGAUGGAUCCGCGCCGCAUUAGCUAGUUGGUAAGGUAACGGCUUACCAAGGCAACGAUGCGUAGCCGACCUGAGAGGGUGAUCGGCCACACUGGAACUGAAACACGGUCCAGACUCCCACGGGGGGCAGCAGUGGGGAAUUUUCCGCAAUGGGCGAAAGCUGGACGGAGCAACGCCGCGUGAGGGAUGAAGGUUUUCGGAUCGUAAACCUCUGUUAUUAGGGAAAAAAAAAUGUUUAAGUAACUUUCCCCGUUUUGACGGUACCUAAUCAAAAAGCCACGGCUAACUACGU
Molecule: ribosomal RNA, 496 nt
Filed under: uncultured bacterium
Lineage: Bacteria
Description: partial 16S ribosomal RNA
Rfam family: Bacterial small subunit ribosomal RNA
Source: RNAcentral